Molecule: ribosomal RNA, 447 nt
Filed under: Neisseria flavescens
Lineage: Bacteria; Pseudomonadati; Pseudomonadota; Betaproteobacteria; Neisseriales; Neisseriaceae
Description: bacterial SSU rRNA
Rfam family: Bacterial small subunit ribosomal RNA
Source: RNAcentral
AUUGAACGCUGGCGGCAUGCUUUACACGUGCAAGUCGGACGGCAGCACAGAGAAGCUUGCUUCUUGGGUGGCGAGUGGCGAACGGGUGAGUAACAUAUCGGAACGUACCGAGUAAUGGGGGAUAACUAAUCGAAAGAUUAGCUAAUACCGCAUAUUCUCUGAGGAGGAAAGCAGGGGACCUUCGGGCCUUGCGUUAUUCGAGCGGCCGAUAUCUGAUUAGCUAGUUGGUGGGGUAAAGGCCUACCAAGGCGACGAUCAGUAGCGGGUCUGAGAGGAUGAUCCGCCACACUGGGACUGAGACACGGCCCAGACUCCUACGGGAGGCAGCAGUGGGGAAUUUUGGACAAUGGGCGCAAGCCUGAUCCAGCCAUGCCGCGUGUCUGAAGAAGGCCUUCGGGUUGUAAAGGACUUUUGUCAGGGAAGAAAAGGCUGUUGCUAAUACCGACA